RNAcentral lists this transfer RNA (78 nucleotides) under Acidobacteriota bacterium. RNAcentral describes it as "Acidobacteria bacterium (groundwater metagenome) tRNA-Leu". It matches the Rfam family "tRNA". From Rfam's summary of the family: Transfer RNA (tRNA) molecules are approximately 80 nucleotides in length. Their secondary structure includes four short double-helical elements and three loops (D, anti-codon, and T loops). Further hydrogen bonds mediate the characteristic L-shaped molecular structure. tRNAs have two regions of fundamental functional importance: the anti-codon, which is responsible for specific mRNA codon recognition, and the 3' end, to which the tRNAs corresponding amino acid is attached (by aminoacyl-tRNA synthetases). tRNAs cope with the degeneracy of the genetic code in two manners: having more than one tRNA (with a specific anti-codon) for a particular amino acid; and 'wobble' base-pairing, i.e. permitting non-standard base-pairing at the 3rd anti-codon position. Lineage: Bacteria; Pseudomonadati; Acidobacteriota. The record is from RNAcentral.
GCGCGCGUGGCGGAACUGGCAUACGCAUCCAGCUCAAACCUGGAGUUUCUGUGGGUUCGACCCCCACCGCCCGCACCA